RNAcentral lists this ribosomal RNA (937 nucleotides) under Beauveria gryllotalpidicola. RNAcentral describes it as "SSU rRNA". It matches the Rfam family "Eukaryotic small subunit ribosomal RNA", at positions 74 to 1020 of the family's 1831-position model. The record is from RNAcentral. Lineage: Eukaryota; Fungi; Ascomycota; Sordariomycetes; Hypocreales; Cordycipitaceae.
UUAUACAGCGAAACUGACGAAUGGCUCAUUAUAUAAGUUAUCGUUUAUUUGAUAGUACCUUACUACUUGGAUAACCGUGGUAAUUCUAGAGCUAAUACAUGCUGAAAAUCCCGACUUCGGAAGGGAUGUAUUUAUUAGAUUAAAAACCAAUGCCCUCUGGGCUCCUUGGUGAUUCAUAAUAACUUUUCGAAUCGCACGGCCUUGCGCCGGCGAUGGUUCAUUCAAAUUUCUUCCCUAUCAACUUUCGAUGUUUGGGUAUUGGCCAAACAUGGUUACAACGGGUAACGGAGGGUUAGGGCUCGACCCCGGAGAAGGAGCCUGAGAAACGGCUACUACAUCCAAGGAAGGCAGCAGGCGCGCAAAUUACCCAAUCCCGAUUCGGGGAGGUAGUGACAAUAAAUACUGAUACAGGGCUCUUUUGGGUCUUGUAAUUGGAAUGAGUACAAUUUAAAUCUCUUAACGAGGAACAAUUGGAGGGCAAGUCUGGUGCCAGCAGCCGCGGUAAUUCCAGCUCCAAUAGCGUAUAUUAAAGUUGUUGUGGUUAAAAAGCUCGUAGUUGAACCUUGGGCCUGGCUGGCCGGUCCGCCUCACCGCGUGUACUGGUCCGGCCGGGUCUUUCCCUCUGUGGAACCUCAUGCCCUUCACUGGGUGUGGCGGGGAAACAGGACUUUUACUUUGAAAAAAUUAGAGUGCUCCAGGCAGGCCUAUGCUCGAAUACAUUAGCAUGGAAUAAUAAAAUAGGACGUGUGGUUAUAUUUUGUUGGUUUCUAGGACCGCCGUAAUGAUUAAUAGGGACAGUCGGGGGCAUCAGUAUUCAAUUGUCAGAGGUGAAAUUCUUGGAUUUAUUGAAGACUAACUACUGCGAAAGCAUUUGCCAAGGAUGUUUUCAUUAAUCAGGAACGAAAGUUAGGGGAUAGAAGACGAUCAAAGGCCGUCG